CCUACGGGGUGCAGCAGUGGGGAAUAUUGGGCAAUGGGCGCAAGCCUGACCCAGCAACGCCGCGUGAAGGAAGAAGGCUUUCGGGUUGUAAACUUCUUUUGUCAGGGAAGAGUAGAAGACGGUACCUGACGAAUAAGCCACGGCUAACUACGUGCCAGCAGCCGCGGUAAUACGUAGGUGGCAAGCGUUGUCCGGAUUUACUGGGUGUAAAGGGCGUGUAGCCGGGUUGACAAGUCAGAUGUGAAAUCCUGCGGCUUAACCGCAGAACUGCAUUUGAAACUGUUGAUCUUGAGUACUGGAGAGGCAGACGGAAUUCCUAGUGGAGCGGUGAAAUGCGUAGAUAUUAGGGGGAACACCAGUGGCGAAGGCGGUCUGCUGGACAGCAACUGACGGUGAGGCGCGAAAGCGUGGGGAGCAAACAGGAUUAGAUACCCCUGUAGUC
Molecule: ribosomal RNA, 442 nt
Filed under: uncultured bacterium
Lineage: Bacteria
Description: partial 16S ribosomal RNA
Rfam family: Bacterial small subunit ribosomal RNA
Source: RNAcentral